UAAGAGGUCCCGCCUGCCCUGUGACUAUACGUUUAACGGCCGCGGUAUUUUGACCGUGCGAAGGUAGCGCAAUCACUUGUCUCUUAAAUGGGGACCUGUAUGAAUGGCAUAACGAGGGUUUAACUGUCUCCUUUCCCAAGUUAAUGAAAUUGAUCCCCCCGUGCAGAAGCGGGGAUAAAGACAUAAGACGAGAAGACCCUAUGGAGCUUCAGGCAACAAGCAGACCGUAAUAAACACCCCUUAAAAAGGAACAAAACAUACGUAACCUGACCCAAUGCCUUUGGUUGGGGCGACCGCGGGGAAACAAAAAACCCCCAUGUGGAAUGAGACCACUCAUCCUCCAAAAAACGAGCCUCGCUCUAAAAAACAGAACAUCUGACCUACAAGAUCCGGCAAAGCCGAUCAACGAACCGAGUUACCCUAGGGAUAACAGCGCAAUCCCCUUAUAGAGCCCAUAUCGACAAGGGGGUUUACGACCUCGAUGUUGGAUCAGGAUAUCCUAAUGGUGCAGCCGCUAUUAAGGG
RNAcentral lists this ribosomal RNA (524 nucleotides) under Odonus niger (redtoothed triggerfish). RNAcentral describes it as "partial 16S ribosomal RNA". It matches the Rfam family "Bacterial large subunit ribosomal RNA", at positions 1846 to 2571 of the family's 2925-position model. Lineage: Eukaryota; Metazoa; Chordata; Actinopteri; Tetraodontiformes; Balistidae. The record is from RNAcentral.